AGGGAAAUAGCUCAGUGGCAGAGCACAUGCUUAGCAUGCAUGAGGUCCUGGGUUCAAUCCCCAGUACCUCCA
RNAcentral lists this transfer RNA (72 nucleotides) under Camelus bactrianus (Bactrian camel). It matches the Rfam family "tRNA". Rfam says of the family: Transfer RNA (tRNA) molecules are approximately 80 nucleotides in length. Their secondary structure includes four short double-helical elements and three loops (D, anti-codon, and T loops). The record is from Rfam by way of RNAcentral. Lineage: Eukaryota; Metazoa; Chordata; Mammalia; Artiodactyla; Camelidae. RNAcentral also lists the same sequence under 2 other names.